GCCUAGUCUACUCUAUAGUCUAAUAUGUAGUCUAGUCUAUAGCCUCGUAUAUAGUAUAUACGACUAGACUAUAGACUAUACUAUAUACAAGGCUAUAGACUAGAUUACAUAUUAGACUAUAGAGUAGACUAGG
RNAcentral lists this microRNA precursor (133 nucleotides) under Lucilia cuprina (Australian sheep blowfly). The record is from RNAcentral. Lineage: Eukaryota; Metazoa; Arthropoda; Insecta; Diptera; Calliphoridae.